This 254-nucleotide ribosomal RNA is filed under the name uncultured bacterium. RNAcentral describes it as "partial 16S ribosomal RNA". It matches the Rfam family "Bacterial small subunit ribosomal RNA", at positions 524 to 776 of the family's 1533-position model. The record is from RNAcentral.
UACAGAGGUCCCAAGCGUUGUUCGGAUUCACUGGGCGUAAAGGGCGCGUAGGCGGCCUCCGCAAGUCAGUUGUGAAAUCUCCGAGCUUAACUCGGAAAGGUCAACUGAUACUGCGGGGCUAGAGUGCGGAAGGGGCAACUGGAAUUCUUGGUGUAGCGGUGAAAUGCGUAGAUAUCAAGAGGAACACCUGCGGCGAAGGCGGGUUGCUGGGCCGACACUGACGCUGAGGCGCGAAAGCUAGGGGAGCGAACGGG